Molecule: long non-coding RNA, 1359 nt
Filed under: Homo sapiens (human)
Lineage: Eukaryota; Metazoa; Chordata; Mammalia; Primates; Hominidae
Description: HSALNT0228729
Source: RNAcentral
UCCUAUGAAGUUUUCAGAAAUAACACUGCAUUUGUUAUUCAUAUUUUAAAUAUAUUAGAAGAAAGUGAGAAAGUUGGGGGUGUAAGAAGGCAGGAAGGUGGGAUAGGUAGGUUCAAAAAACAUGCUUGUAGCAAUAAGAAAAUAUAUAUACCCUUUUCGUCAUUCUGUAUGUCAGCGUGGACUCUGGUAUCAUCGUGCCACUGUGUUGUAGGAAAUACUGGAGAAUGAAACCAAUGGUGAACAAGCCAUUUUCUUCUUCCCUCUAUCCUUAAUCUGGCCCCAGGUGAAAUCCGAGAACAGGUCCUAUCCAUAAAUUCUUGAAAUGACAAAAUAAGUUCGCCUGCUUGAUGAUAUAUAUUUUUAUUUUUGUUAAUUUUGUCUUUUGUUUGUUUCUUUAAAGGCGGCAAAGAAGUUUGUUUCUGGCCAGAAGUCAAUGGCAGCAAGUGGAAAUUUGGGACAUACACCUUUUGUUGAUGAGUUGUAAUACUGAUGCACACAUUACAGGAGAGAGCUACUGCUUAGGCAGUAGCCAGUCCAUGACUUGUAUUUACUGUUGAAGCUACAUUAAUUUCUUUUUUUUUUUUUCUCCUGAGACAGGGUCUCACUUUGUCACCCAGGCUGGAAUGCAGGGAUACAAAUACAGCUCACUGCAGCCUCGACCUCCAGGGCUCAAGCAACCCUCCUGCCUCAGCCCCUGGAGGAGCUGCACAGACUGGAGGCUACACUGUCGGCUUCCCAACUUUUGAGGUUUUGGGACUCGGACUGAGCCACUAUUACAGCAGUGUAAGAAUGCACUAAUACAGUAGGUGAGUCCUGGAUUUAAAAGAUGAAAUUCAAGACUGCUUCUAACCUCAAAGAGCCCACUAACUAUAGCCGUGCCACCAGCUCCUCAGAGUGACCAUGGGAGAGUUACUAAACAUCUGAUUCCUUGUCUGCAAGGUGGUUUCAUGCAGAAUCUAGCUCAGGGAUUGUGAGAGUGAAAUGAGAUCGUGCAGCUAAGUGUUAGCAAUGCUUAAUACUGCCUACGAAAGAAAAUAUCUUUACGCACUGAGAGCCAUAGCUCUGGAGUAACAUGGUCCCUGAAUCCCCACUUAGGAGAAACAGGUGACCUGGACAAGGAACUCAAUCUCACUGACCCUCAUUAAGUAAAUUUAAUUUUUUUUUUUUUUUUAGAGGUAGGGUCUCACUCUGUUACCCAGGUUGGCAUGCAGUGGCACAAUCAUAGCUCACUACAGCCUCGGCCUCCUGCACUCAAGUGAUCCUCCCACCUCAGCCUCCUGAGUAGCUAGGAUUACGGGCACGCACCAUGCCGGGCUGCUUUCGUUUUGUUGUAGAAAUGGUGAUAUGGUUUGGAUUUGU